Molecule: long non-coding RNA, 258 nt
Filed under: Anser brachyrhynchus (Pink-footed goose)
Lineage: Eukaryota; Metazoa; Chordata; Aves; Anseriformes; Anatidae
Description: lncRNA (ENSABRG00000019749.1)
Source: RNAcentral
UAACAACCUGCUCAUUUCAUCAGGCAGAACUCGAUAUCGAGGCUGUGGGCUGCUGAUUUUAUGUUUCAUUUUAAAAAUUCUGGUUAGUAUUUAAAAUAUAUAUAUAUAUAUAUUUUCAUAUGUAUGUCAGGAAAAUUUUUUCUUCUUUGACAGUGUCUACAGAGGAGUAUUUGGGAUGAGGACAGUUGGAGGUGGGAGUAUGAGUGGGCUGCUUGGGGUAUUUUGGUACAUUUAAUUGGCUGUUAAAUGGUUAAUGAA